Molecule: ribosomal RNA, 2890 nt
Filed under: Oxynema aestuarii AP17
Lineage: Bacteria; Bacillati; Cyanobacteriota; Cyanophyceae; Oscillatoriales; Oscillatoriaceae
Description: Oxynema sp. AP17 23S ribosomal RNA
Rfam family: Bacterial large subunit ribosomal RNA
Source: RNAcentral
GUGGUCAAGCUACAAAGGGCUAACGGUGGAUCCCUAGGCACGUCGAGGCGAAGAAGGACGUGGUGACCGACGAAACGCUCCGGGGAGCUGGAAACAAGCAUCGAGCCGGAGGUCUCCGAAUGGGGCAACCCCAAGCACGACCCAUCGAAUCCAUAGAUGGGAACGAGCGAACCUGGCGAACUGAAACAUCUUAGUAACCAGAGGAACAGAAAGAAAAAUCGAUUCCCUCAGUAGCGGCGAGCGAAGCGGGAACAGCCUAAACCGAAGACAUUAAGUCAUCGGGGUCGUGGGACGGCAACAACGAGAGUAGAGGCAGUAGACGAAGCGGCUGAAUACCGCACCAGAGGGGGUGAAAGUCCCGUAGUCGAAACCGCCAACGCCUCAGUCGAAUCCCGAGUAGCACGGAGCCCGUGGAAUUCCGUGUGAAUCAGCGAGGACCACCUCGUAAGGCUAAAUACUCCGACGUGACCGAUAGCGAAACAGUACCGUGAGGGAAAGGUGAAAAGAACCCCGAGCAGGGGAGUGAAAUAGAACCUGAACCCGUUAGCCUACAAGCAGUGGGAGGACGAUUAAACGUCUGACCGCGUGCCUGUUGAAGAAUGAGCCGGCGAGUUAUUAGACGAGGCUAGGUUAAGGCCAAAGAGCCGCAGCCCGAGCGAAAGCGAGUCCGAACAGGGCGUAAACCGUCUCGUUUAAUAGACCCGAACCCGGGUGAUCUAACCAUGUCCAGGAUGAAGCUUGGGUAACACCAAGUGGAGGUCCGAACCGACCGAUGUUGAAAAAUCGGCGGAUGAGGUGUGGUUAGGGGUGAAAUGCCAAUCGAACCCGGAGCUAGCUGGUUCUCCCCGAAAUGCGUUGAGGCGCAGCGGUCGAAGAUGAUGACGAGGGGUAAAGCACUGUUUCGGUGCGGGCUGCGAGAGCGGUACCAAAUCGAGACAAACUCAGAAUACUCGUCAAGAAAGCGACCAGUGAGACGGUGGGGGAUAAGCUUCAUCGUCGAAAGGGAAACAGCCCAGACCACCAGCUAAGGUCCCCAAAUGACCGCUCAGUGAUUAAGGAGGUGAGAGUGCACAGACAACCAGGAGGUUGGCCUAGAAGCAGCCACCCUUGAAAGAGUGCGUAAUAGCUCACUGGUCAAGCGCUCUGGCGCCGAAAAUGAACGGGGCUAAGCGGUCUACCGAAGCUGUGGAACGAGCAAUCGUUGGUAGGGGAGCGUUCCCCGACGGGAGAAGCACUAGCGAGAGCAGGUGUGGACGUCGGGGAAGUGAGAAUGUCGGCUUGAGUAGCGCAAACAUUGGUGAGAAUCCAAUGCCCCGAAACCCUAAGGGUUCCUCCGGCAGGUUCGUCCGCGGAGGGUUAGUCAGGACCUAAGGCGAGGCCGAAAGGCGUAGUCGAUGGACAACGGGUGAACAUUCCCGUACGGAUUGGAGUUGGCGCGGGAGGACGGAGUGGGUCGAGACCAGCCGGAAGUUGGUUACCGGUUCAAGUGUUCGAGACGAAGACCGACGGCGAAAACGUCGGGAGUUAAGGCACGAGUACGAGACCUUACGAGGUCGAAGUGGUACAGAUCGAACUUCCAAGAAAAGCCCCAACCGCCAUAAGCUUCAAUUCCCUGUACCCGAAACCGACACAGGUAGGGAGGUUGAGAAAACCGAGGGGCGCGAGCUAACUCUCUCUAAGGAACUCGGCAAAAUGGCCCCGUAACUUCGGGAGAAGGGGUGCCCCCUGAUGGGGGGUCGCAGUGAAGAGGCCCAGGCGACUGUUUACCAAAAACACAGGUCUCCGCCAAGUCGCAAGACGCUGUAUGGAGGCUGACGCCUGCCCAGUGCCGGAAGGUUAAGGAAGUCGGUCAGCCCUGCGGGGUAAAGCUGGCGACCGAAGCCCCGGUGAACGGCGGCCGUAACUAUAACGGUCCUAAGGUAGCGAAAUUCCUUGUCGGGUAAGUUCCGACCCGCACGAAAGGCGUAACGAUCUGGGCGCUGUCUCGGAGAGAGGCUCGGCGAAAUAGGAUUGUCUGUGAAGAUACGGACUCCCUGCACCUGGACAGAAAGACCCUAUGAAGCUUUACUGUAGCCUGGAAUUGGCUUCGGGCUUCGCUUGCGCAGCAUAGGUGGGAGGCGUGGAAGGUUUCCUUGCGGGGAAACUGGAGCCAUCACUGAGAUACCACUCUGGCGAAGCUAGAAGUCUAACCUCGACCCCUCAGCGGGGGGAGGAACCGUUUCAGGUGGGCAGUUUGACUGGGGCGGUCGCCUCCUAAAAGGUAACGGAGGCGCGCAAAGGUUCCCUCAGGCUGGUUGGAAAUCAGCCGUCGAGUGUAAAGGCACAAGGGAGCUUGACUGCGAGACCUACAAGUCGAGCAGGGACGAAAGUCGGCCUUAGUGAUCCGACGGUUCCGAGUGGAAGGGCCGUCGCUCAACGGAUAAAAGUUACUCUAGGGAUAACAGGCUGAUCUCCCCCAAGAGUUCACAUCGACGGGGAGGUUUGGCACCUCGAUGUCGGCUCAUCGCAACCUGGGGCGGAAGUACGUCCCAAGGGUUGGGCUGUUCGCCCAUUAAAGCGGUACGUGAGCUGGGUUCAGAACGUCGUGAGACAGUUCGGUCCAUAUCCGGUGCAGGCGUAAGAGCAUUGAGAGGCGCCCUCCUUAGUACGAGAGGACCGGGAGGGACACACCGCUGGUGUACCUGUUAUCGUGCCAACGGUAGACGCAGGGUAGCCAUGUGUGGCGUGGAUAACCGCUGAAAGCAUCUAAGUGGGAAGCCCACCUCAAGAUGAGUGCUCUGGUGGAGUUAAUCCAGUAAGGUCCCGGGCAGAUUACCCGUUGAUAGGCGUUAGGUGGAAGUCCUGCAAGGGAUGUAGCCGAGACGUACUAACCGACCGAGCGCUUGACCUC